Cyprinus carpio carpio is the source of this 737-nucleotide long non-coding RNA. Lineage: Eukaryota; Metazoa; Chordata; Actinopteri; Cypriniformes; Cyprinidae. The record is from Ensembl.
GUGAGUCUUCGUGCUGUGAAAACCUAUAAUUUUGACGUGGUGUUGUAUAUUGCUGUGGGCUGCUGUGUAUUGCCGUGUGUCCUGUCAGAUAAACCCCCGCCUUCACGCACUUCGUCGCGGGAGGACAAGGAGACUGCUGGUCCUAGCCUAGUUCAGUACAGUAUAUGUUGUGAGCGUGCUUCAGAUCUCCGGAGAUAGCAUGGUACGCUGUGUCCAGCCCAGAGGUGAAAGCCAUCCAAAGCAGAGUAACUGUGCUUUGUGUCCAAGUUGAUACCUGUGGAGAGGAAAGGAAAGAGAGAUUGAUACCUGUGGAGAGAAAAGGAAAGAGAGAGUGAGUAACACAAGGAGAAACAGAGGAAACCUGUACUUACAGUACGCUGUGUCCAGCCCAGAGUUGAUACCUGUGGAGAGAAAAGGAGAGAGAGUGGGUAACACGAGGAGAGACCGAGGAAAACUGUACUUACGCCGCUACCUGUGGAGAAAGAGAAAGCGAGUGAGCACCCAAGGAACGAACUGUGUGAACCAGUACUUACUGUGAGCUGCAAUCAGCGAAGAGGUGAGAGCCAUUCAAAGCAAACUAACUGUGCUAUUGUGCCUAAGUUGAUACCUGUGGAGAGAAAAGGAGAGAGAGUGGGUAACACGAGGAGAGACCGAGGAAAACUGUACUUACGCCGCUACCUGUGGAGAAAGAGAAAGCGAGUGAGCACCCAAGGAACGAACUGUGUGAACCAGUACUU